AGUGCUUAAGGCACGGAGCCGAAGCGAGAGCAAGUCUGAACAGGGCGAAAAAGUCGUAUGCAAUAGACCCGAAACCGAGUGACCUAUCCAUGUCCAGGCUGAAGUGGAGGUAAAACUCCAUGGAGGGCCGAACACACGUCCGUUGAAAAGGCCGGUGAUGAGGUGUGGAUAGCGGAGAAAUUCCAAUCGAACUCGGAUAUAGCUGGUUCUCCCCGAAAUAGCUUUAGGGCUAGCGUCGAGGAUGAGUCUUGUGGAGGUAGAGCACUGAAUGUACGAUGGCCCCAUCCCGGGGUACUGAGUAUAAUCAAACUCCGAAUGCCAUGAGAUAUUCCCGGCAGUCAGACCGUGGGUGAUAAGGUCCAUGGUCAAAAGGGAAACAGCCCAGACCGCCAGUUAAGGUCCCAAAAUGUAUGCUAAGUGGAAAAGGAUGUGGGGAUGCACAGACAACUAGGAGGUUGGCUCAGAAGCAGCCAUCCUUCAAAGAGUGCGUAACAGCUCACUAGUCGAGUGACCCUGCGCCGAAAAUGUACCGGGGCUAAGCAUACUACCGAAGCUGCGGAUUUGUAGUAAUACAAGUGGUAGGGGAGCGUUCCAUGCACGUGGAAGCCAUACCGAAAGGAGUGGUGGAGAGCAUGGAAGUGAGAAUGCCGGUGUGAGUAGCGAGAUGCAGGUGAGAAUCCUGCACACCGAUAGCCCAAGGAUUCCAGGGGAAGGUUCGUCCGCCCUGGGUAAGUCGGGACCUAAGGCGAGGCCGAAAGGCGUAGUCGAUGGAAAACAGGCAGAUAUUCCUGUACCCGCGAUGGAAAUGAAGGAAUGACGGAGAAGGCUAGCAUGAGCCACUUAUUGGAUUGUGGUCGAAGCGAAUAGCAGGUGCAUAGUCAAAUGCGUGCACGGGAUGUAAAACGUGACAGGUAAGCGAAACCCCUGGGGAGUAGCGAAGCAUGCGAGGCCAGCUUCCAGGAAAAGUUUCUAGUGCUAAUUCCAUAGCGGCCCGUACCAAAACCGACACAGGUGGGCAAGGAGAGUAUCCUGAGGUGAGCGAGAGAACUGUUGCCAAGGAACUCGGCAAAAUGACUCCGUAAGUUAGCGAGAAGGAGUGCUUAUGAAAGUAAGCCGCAGUGAAGAGGCCCAAGCGACUGUUUAACUAAAACACAGCUCUCUGCGAAGUCGCAAGACGAAGUAUAGGGGGUGACGCCUGCCCGGUGCUGGAAGGUUAAGAGGAUUUGUCAGUUUCGACGAAGCAAUGAAUUGAAGCCCCAGUGAACGGCGGCCGUAACUAUAACGGUCCUAAGGUAGCGAAAUUCCUUGUCAGGUAAGUUCUGACCCG
RNAcentral lists this ribosomal RNA (1327 nucleotides) under human gut metagenome. RNAcentral describes it as "bacterial LSU rRNA". It matches the Rfam family "Bacterial large subunit ribosomal RNA", at positions 649 to 1990 of the family's 2925-position model. The record is from RNAcentral.